UACGUAGGUGGCAAGCGUUGUCCGGAAUUAUUGGGCGUAAAGGGCGUGUAGGCGGAGUAUCAAGUCUUGUGUGAAAGUUUGCAGCUCAACUGUAAAAUUGCAUAGGAAACUGAUAGACUAGAGUGUCGGAGAGGAAAGCGGAAUUCCAUGUGUAGCGGUGAAAUGCGUAGAUAUAUGGAGGAACACCAGUGGCGAAGGCGGCUUUCUGGACGAUGACUGACGCUGAGGCGCGAAAGCGUGGGGAGCAAAC
RNAcentral lists this ribosomal RNA (250 nucleotides) under uncultured bacterium. RNAcentral's name for it is "partial 16S ribosomal RNA". It matches the Rfam family "Bacterial small subunit ribosomal RNA", at positions 524 to 773 of the family's 1533-position model. The record is from RNAcentral.